GCCCCGGCCCAUGGCCCCAGACCGGUCAGCCGCGAGGCCACCUGAGCUGCGAGCUGAGGAGGCCCCAUGGCUGUUCCCGCAAAGGGCCGGGGGGCGCAUUUUCUCUCCUGCCAGCCAGCUCCAUCCUGGUCCUUUAUUCCCGGCCUUCCCUCACCCCCCACCCCCACAGCCUGCUGUAUGUAAAUAGGGAAAUAGAUCUACACGGACACAAUAAUUUAGCUUGGUUGGUCUUUGGCAUUUUCUAUAAGACCCCAAGAGAUGGACUUUCCUCUCCCCUUCCUCCUUUUAGAAAUGGCAUCCUUCAUCUCUGUCUAUGCAGGCCCAAUUAUCCAGAUCCUCGGGGCUCCAAUAGGGUCUGAGUCAUUGGAACCAGGAACACCUGGCUGAAACAUGCCACAUAAUUAGAUUUUCUUUUUCUUUACCUUUUCUUUCUUAUUUUUAUGAGAGGCCCGGAAUUAGCCUCUUCGACUGGGGCGGAGUAGCUGGGGUGUGGGAAAGGAACACCUUCAUACAACUUCCAGCUUUCAGCCCCUUGGAGAGAUUUCCAAAUUCCCCUGAGCCGCUAGGACUUCCUUUCCUGGAUCUCUCGGCCACCUCCUCCUCCUUCUCCGAUCUUUUUUUUUUCCCUCCUCCCACUGUCUUCUCUACGGUUUAAUCAAAGUUCAGCGACUCCACUUGCCUCUCCUCUCAUUUCUUUCGGAAAGCGGAAACCAGACGAUCCAGCGGCCACAGGACGAGUCGCCCCAACUCAACCCCAGCAGGACGCUGGAGGGGCCUCCCUCCCCCGCCUCUCUUCACCGGCGCUGGCCUCCCGCACCCGGGUGUGCAGUCCCUCCGCCAUCUCACAGGCUUCUGCUUUGUGUGAUCAGGGAAGGGAUCCCACAUACAGGAAUGGUUAAUGGAUUUUGGGACUCUCUAGGAGCCCCUGUUUUAAGAAGGAGGCCAAAUGUGCAGGCUCAGGCCAAGUGGCAGAGAUGAAUGAGGUGAUGACCACAGCCUUGAUCCGGCAGGAGCUCAGAGAUGCCCGGGAAGACGGGGUGCCCGAAUGGAAGCAGAAAAACACUUAUGGCCUCUGGGAAGUUGGGAGAGCCAGGCUGGGGCUCCGGCAGGCCCAGGGAAAGUUCCCUUUCUAGGCUCUUUAUUAAAAAAUUUAAAAGGAGGAGUUGAGGCGCCUUGAAUUUUCCUUUGCGAGUUUGGAGACCAGCCGAUUUUUCAUGAAGCAAGCAAAGACUGCGGUCCCGGAUCCUGCAACAUAUACCUCAUUUUCUCCAGGCCUCUCCACUUGCUCGAGCUCUCAGCCACCAGGAGACAGACGGAAGGGGCUUCUGGGCUGUGUUGGGAGCGGGCACUGUCCCCUACCCACUCCUGCACAGUUUCCCAAAGUCCAGCGACCUCCGACCCUCCUUGGGGGAAAAAAUAUCAGUACCCAGACACCUCUGCAUCCUGUUAUAUGACUGGGCUUGCUUCAGGAAUAUCUUACAAAGAAGAAGAAGAAGAAGGAGGAACGGCUUGGAGUCAUGUUUACAUCUAGUUCUACUGAUCCAUUCACAUCUGGAGAGUUUAUUUAUAACUCUCUCUAUAACUCUCUGUUUGGAGGCACUGGUGGCUCUACUGACAGACUGAUGUCUAGGAAAUAUUGCUGUAUGUCUAACCGUACCUAAAUGUGCUGUGGUUGUAUUUACUGAUUUACGUUUGAGGGAAAUAUAAUUAUUUCCAUUGUAUUUGUGCAUAUACAGUAGUUAUAGGAGCAUAUUUAUAUAUGGGAAAAUAUACGACUCUCUUACAGCCAUCCGGCUUUAUGUACAUUUGAUAUCCUGACAGAUUUAUAUCUCUGAACAGCUAUAUAGAUAAAAACGUAUAUCGUUAGAAUUAUGUAUCAGGAGAUAUAUACUUAUUGAUUGUGAAAUAGAGUAGUUAGAGCAUUCACUUAGAGCCAUAUAUGGCUAUGGAGAUAUUUCUAUAUUAUUAUCACUAUAUAUAGGCAUAUCUAUUUAUAACUGCAUAGUUAUAAAAAUAGACAUAAUUAUAGUCCUAUAUGUGCAUGCUUCAAUCUCUCUCUAGAGUUAUAGACACUAUCAAAUAUAACUCUAUAGAGAGAUCUGUAUGUAUAUAAGGUGUAAUUAUUUUGUGAUGUGUUUACGUUGGGACUUAGGCCCGUCUGUCUAGAACAGACAUAUUUAUAUGUAGGGGCUGGGAGAGACUUAUUCACAGAUAUCUGCAGAGGACCAACUGGGAACACUGUAUCUGCCCUCUAGGAAACCAGCUAGGAGAGUUGUGUACUUAUGGAGGGAUGGAGUUACAAAAGGGUAAAUAGAGCUCAG
Pan troglodytes (chimpanzee) is the source of this 2321-nucleotide long non-coding RNA. RefSeq lists it as uncharacterized. The transcript has 3 exons. Lineage: Eukaryota; Metazoa; Chordata; Mammalia; Primates; Hominidae. The record is from RefSeq and is a predicted model, not a curated record.